CAUGCAGUCGAACGAAGUCUUCGGACUUAGUGGCGCACGGGUGCGUAACGCGUGGGAAUCUGCCCUUGGGUACGGAAUAACUCAGAGAAAUUUGUGCUAAUACCGUAUAAUGACUUCGGUCCAAAGAUUUAUCGCCCAGGGAUGAGCCCGCGUAAGAUUAGCUAGUUGGUGGGGUAAAAGCCUACCAAGGCGACGAUCUUUAGCUGGUCUGAGAGGAUGAUCAGCCACACUGGGACUGAGACACGGCCCAGACUCCUACGGGAGGCAGCAGUGGGGAAUAUUGGACAAUGGGCGAAAGCCUGAUCCAGCAAUGCCGCGUGAGUGAUGAAGGCCCUAGGGUUGUAAAGCUCUUUUACCCGGGAUGAUAAUGACAGUACCGGGAGAAUAAGCUCCGGCUAACUCCGUGCCAGCAGCCCCCGGUAAA
This 424-nucleotide ribosomal RNA is filed under the name activated sludge bacterium LB6. Its description in RNAcentral is "bacterial SSU rRNA". It matches the Rfam family "Bacterial small subunit ribosomal RNA", at positions 54 to 524 of the family's 1533-position model. The record is from RNAcentral.